RNAcentral lists this ribosomal RNA (2903 nucleotides) under Escherichia coli B26-2. RNAcentral's name for it is "bacterial LSU rRNA". It matches the Rfam family "Bacterial large subunit ribosomal RNA". The record is from RNAcentral. Lineage: Bacteria; Pseudomonadati; Pseudomonadota; Gammaproteobacteria; Enterobacterales; Enterobacteriaceae.
UUAAGCGACUAAGCGUACACGGUGGAUGCCCUGGCAGUCAGAGGCGAUGAAGGACGUGCUAAUCUGCGAUAAGCGUCGGUAAGGUGAUAUGAACCGUUAUAACCGGCGAUUUCCGAAUGGGGAAACCCAGUGUGAUUCGUCACACUAUCAUUAACUGAAUCCAUAGGUUAAUGAGGCGAACCGGGGGAACUGAAACAUCUAAGUACCCCGAGGAAAAGAAAUCAACCGAGAUUCCCCCAGUAGCGGCGAGCGAACGGGGAGGAGCCCAGAGCCUGAAUCAGUGUGUGUGUUAGUGGAAGCGUCUGGAAAGGCGCGCGAUACAGGGUGACAGCCCCGUACACAAAAAUGCACAUGCUGUGAGCUCGAUGAGUAGGGCGGGACACGUGGUAUCCUGUCUGAAUAUGGGGGGACCAUCCUCCAAGGCUAAAUACUCCUGACUGACCGAUAGUGAACCAGUACCGUGAGGGAAAGGCGAAAAGAACCCCGGCGAGGGGAGUGAAAAAGAACCUGAAACCGUGUACGUACAAGCAGUGGGAGCACAGAGCAAUCUGUGUGACUGCGUACCUUUUGUAUAAUGGGUCAGCGACUUAUAUUCUGUAGCAAGGUUAACCGAAUAGGGGAGCCGAAGGGAAACCGAGUCUUAACUGGGCGUUAAGUUGCAGGGUAUAGACCCGAAACCCGGUGAUCUAGCCAUUGGCAGGUUGAAGGUUGGGUAACACUAACUGGAGGACCGAACCGACUAAUGUUGAAAAAUUAGCGGAUGACUUGUGGCUGGGGGUGAAAGGCCAAUCAAACCGGGAGAUAGCUGGUUCUCCCCGAAAGCUAUUUAGGUAGCGCCUCGUGAAUUCAUCUCCGGGGGUAGAGCACUGUUUCGGCAAGGGGGUCAUCCCGACUUACCAACCCGAUGCAAACUGCGAAUACCGGAGAAUGUUAUCACGGGAGACACACGGCGGGUGCUAACGUCCGUCGUGAAGAGGGAAACAACCCAGACCGCCAGCUAAGGUCCCAAAGUCAUGGUUAAGUGGGAAACGAUGUGGGAAGGCCCAGACAGCCAGGAUGUUGGCUUAGAAGCAGCCAUCAUUUAAAGAAAGCGUAAUAGCUCACUGGUCGAGUCGGCCUGCGCGGAAGAUGUAACGGGGCUAAACCAUGCACCGAAGCUGCGGCAGCGACACUGUGUGUUGUUGGGUAGGGGAGCGUUCUGUAAGCCUGUGAAGGUGUGCUGUGAGGCAUGCUGGAGGUAUCAGAAGUGCGAAUGCUGACAUAAGUAACGAUAAAGCGGGUGAAAAGCCCGCUCGCCGGAAGACCAAGGGUUCCUGUCCAACGUUAAUCGGGGCAGGGUGAGUCGACCCCUAAGGCGAGGCCGAAAGGCGUAGUCGAUGGGAAACAGGUUAAUAUUCCUGUACUUGGUGUUACUGCGAAGGGGGGACGGAGAAGGCUAUGUUGGCCGGGCGACGGUUGUCCCGGUUUAAGCGUGUAGGCUGGUUUUCCAGGCAAAUCCGGAAAAUCAAGGCUGAGGCGUGAUGACGAGGCACUACGGUGCUGAAGCAACAAAUGCCCUGCUUCCAGGAAAAGCCUCUAAGCAUCAGGUAACAUCAAAUCGUACCCCAAACCGACACAGGUGGUCAGGUAGAGAAUACCAAGGCGCUUGAGAGAACUCGGGUGAAGGAACUAGGCAAAAUGGUGCCGUAACUUCGGGAGAAGGCACGCUGAUAUGUAGGUGAAGUCCCUCGCGGAUGGAGCUGAAAUCAGUCGAAGAUACCAGCUGGCUGCAACUGUUUAUUAAAAACACAGCACUGUGCAAACACGAAAGUGGACGUAUACGGUGUGACGCCUGCCCGGUGCCGGAAGGUUAAUUGAUGGGGUCAGCGCAAGCGAAGCUCUUGAUCGAAGCCCCGGUAAACGGCGGCCGUAACUAUAACGGUCCUAAGGUAGCGAAAUUCCUUGUCGGGUAAGUUCCGACCUGCACGAAUGGCGUAAUGAUGGCCAGGCUGUCUCCACCCGAGACUCAGUGAAAUUGAACUCGCUGUGAAGAUGCAGUGUACCCGCGGCAAGACGGAAAGACCCCGUGAACCUUUACUAUAGCUUGACACUGAACAUUGAGCCUUGAUGUGUAGGAUAGGUGGGAGGCUUUGAAGUGUGGACGCCAGUCUGCAUGGAGCCGACCUUGAAAUACCACCCUUUAAUGUUUGAUGUUCUAACGUGGACCCGUGAUCCGGGUUGCGGACAGUGUCUGGUGGGUAGUUUGACUGGGGCGGUCUCCUCCUAAAGAGUAACGGAGGAGCACGAAGGUUGGCUAAUCCUGGUCGGACAUCAGGAGGUUAGUGCAAUGGCAUAAGCCAGCUUGACUGCGAGCGUGACGGCGCGAGCAGGUGCGAAAGCAGGUCAUAGUGAUCCGGUGGUUCUGAAUGGAAGGGCCAUCGCUCAACGGAUAAAAGGUACUCCGGGGAUAACAGGCUGAUACCGCCCAAGAGUUCAUAUCGACGGCGGUGUUUGGCACCUCGAUGUCGGCUCAUCACAUCCUGGGGCUGAAGUAGGUCCCAAGGGUAUGGCUGUUCGCCAUUUAAAGUGGUACGCGAGCUGGGUUUAGAACGUCGUGAGACAGUUCGGUCCCUAUCUGCCGUGGGCGCUGGAGAACUGAGGGGGGCUGCUCCUAGUACGAGAGGACCGGAGUGGACGCAUCACUGGUGUUCGGGUUGUCAUGCCAAUGGCACUGCCCGGUAGCUAAAUGCGGAAGAGAUAAGUGCUGAAAGCAUCUAAGCACGAAACUUGCCCCGAGAUGAGUUCUCCCUGACCCUUUAAGGGUCCUGAAGGAACGUUGAAGACGACGACGUUGAUAGGCCGGGUGUGUAAGCGCAGCGAUGCGUUGAGCUAACCGGUACUAAUGAACCGUGAGGCUUAACCUU